This 378-nucleotide unclassified non-coding RNA is filed under the name plant metagenome. RNAcentral describes it as "partial contains 5.8S ribosomal RNA, internal transcribed spacer 2, and large subunit ribosomal RNA". The stretch from base 1 to 105 matches the Rfam family "5.8S ribosomal RNA", at positions 50 to 154 of the family's 154-position model. The record is from RNAcentral.
GAAAUGCGAUAAGUAAUGUGAAUUGCAGAAUUCAGUGAAUCAUCGAAUCUUUGAACGCACCUUGCGCUCCUUGGUAUUCCUUGGAGCAUGCCUGUUUGAGUAUCAUGAAAUCUUCAAAGUAAAUCUUUUGUUAACUCAAUUGGUUUCUACUUUGGUAUUGGAGGUCUUUGCAGCUUCACACCUGCUCCUCUUUGUUCAUUAGCUGGAUCUCAGUGUUAUGCUUGGUUCCACUCAGCGUGAUAAGUUAUCUAUCGCUGAGGACACUGUAAAAGGUGGCCAAGGUAAAUGCAGAUGAACCGCUUCUAAUAGUCCAUUGACUUGGACAAUACUUUUAUGAUCUGAUCUCAAAUCAGGUAGGACUACCCGCUGAACUUAAGC